GCACUGCUGAAGAGUCUCAAAAUAGGACGAAACGGCCGUCCAGUGC
RNAcentral lists this non-coding RNA (46 nucleotides) under Schistosoma curassoni. Lineage: Eukaryota; Metazoa; Platyhelminthes; Trematoda; Strigeidida; Schistosomatidae. The record is from RNAcentral.